GACGGAGGGUGCAAGCGUUGUUCGGAAUCACUGGGCGUAAAGCGCGUGUAGGCGGUUGAAUAAGUCGGAUGUGAAAGCCCGGAGCUUAACUCCGGAAGUGCAUUCGAAACUGUUCGGGUCGAGUACGGGAGAGGGAAGUGGAAUUCCUGGUGUAGAGGUGAAAUUCGUAGAUAUCAGGAGGAACGCCGGUGGCGAAGGCGGCUCUCUGGACUGAUUCUGACGCUGAGGCACGAAAGCUGGGGGAGCAAACAGG
RNAcentral lists this ribosomal RNA (253 nucleotides) under uncultured bacterium. Its description in RNAcentral is "partial 16S ribosomal RNA". It matches the Rfam family "Bacterial small subunit ribosomal RNA", at positions 524 to 776 of the family's 1533-position model. The record is from RNAcentral.